RNAcentral lists this long non-coding RNA (385 nucleotides) under Physcomitrium patens. RNAcentral describes it as "long non-coding RNA (PPAT_LNC003528)". Lineage: Eukaryota; Viridiplantae; Streptophyta; Bryopsida; Funariales; Funariaceae. The record is from RNAcentral.
AUCUUCAGUUUCAAUAAUACAUUGCUUGAAGUUUUAGCCUACCUUUCUUAGUGUUGAUUUUGUAUUCAUCUGAUUUAAUAAAAAUUUUGCUAGCUUUUUUAUUGAAACUUUUUUUUUUUUUUUUUUUUUUUUUUUUUGGUCUUUUGUAUAGUGUAUCUAUGACAAUUUGUCAAGAUUGUUCUAUUAAUAAUACUAGAGCUUGAUCCUUGUUGGUAAAAAAUAGAUUAUUACUCUUUUUGAAGCCAUUUAAGCGCUUUAGAGGUUGUAGAGUAUCAUCUUCUAAAUUGGUAUUAUUUAUUUAUUUAUUUAUUUUCUUUCAAGAUUAUUGGAAGUGAAGAUGUUAGUAUGGUUGAGUCUCUUAAGUCCAAGUUAGAUGUUAUUAUGA